CAAGAGGGGUUUAUUAAGCCCCAAAACAUACAACCACACUGAAAUCUCAAAACUACUCAGACAUGAUGGGGUUUAUUUUCCACAUGACGGUAAGUUUAGUUUCUGUUUUGUUGGUUUAUUUUUGUUUAUUUAUUGUAUGUUGUAUGUUCCUUGUUUCCCAUCCUCCUUGUCUCCCAUUCCUCCUGCUUCCCCUCCCUCUACCCCUCUAUCUCUAUCUUUCUACCUCUCUACCUCUUCUGUCCCUCUCAACCUGCCUGGCCAGCAGGCAGGUGGGUCCCCCCACAUAAAGAGCUGGGUUCUACUUGAGGUUUUUUUUCCCUGUUAAAGGGUGUUUUCCUUGCCACUGUCGCCUUAGGGCUGCUCUGGGGGUUCAGGCAUAUGGGUUCUGUAAAGCGUCUUGAGACAAUUUGACGGGAACAACAGAGACAAAUAUACAUGAGGAACUGAAAACUCAAAGGUUGAGAAUCUACACUUGCCAGGAGCAAGAUGCUGCUGGUAUUCUCAUCGAGGAUGUCCCAGUGCUUCCUGGUCUUGAAACUCCAGCAAGAUGCCUACUCCUUGGAUUAACAUAUGCCCUAAAUCUGGAAUAUACACCCAAACUCUCAGACAUUUGAGGUCUUCUAAAGACUUUGUUUUACUCGACUUGAUGCGGCCAAAACCAACAGCAAGCUUCUUGCCUAAGCUGGUCCACCAUGAACAGUUUUAGCUCCUGUUCAACAACGUCAUACCUGGGUUUCAAAGACAGCUGUGGAGCUUAAUGGAGAGCACCCAUCAACAAGUCAAUUGUUCUUUUGUUAAUUGUCCCUGUAGGCAUGUGCAGGUGGAGUUUAUAACAAAUCUUUUCACUGUGAAGAUUUUAUCAGCUGAAGGUCAGAAUUUGUAUUCUGUAAAUUGUUGAGGUGUUCUAAUAUGAAUCUUAAAAUCAAAAACAGUUUUAUUAUUAUCAUACCCUUGGACGUAUGUGCAUAUGCUAAAAACACUGUUCAGCACUUGAAGAUCAGGUCACAGUUUACUUUAAUCUAUUUUAGUUUUUAAAAUGGAAAUUGUAUUUAAACAGUUAAGAACUGUGAAGUUGAAGAAAAUGCUUUUGAUUAAUAAAUGUUGGACACAAAUGUUUCUUUCUUCAAUCUACCAGAUUUUAUUAUUUUUUUCAUACUAAUUUAAUAAAGUAAUUUAGACUUUCAAAACAUGCAAAUAUAUUUUUUAAAUCAAUAAGAUUGAAUGUAUUACAUCAUCUUACUUUAAUUUAUUAAGUAUGAUGUAAUUAAUAACUGACUGUUUUUUUAAAGUUAUUAAACUCAAUUUUUUUGCUUUUUCUUCAAGGCUAUACUCAAAACUUUUAACCUGGUGAAAUUCCCAUUUUUGAGUUUUCCUAAAUCAAAAAAGAGAGAAGUUCACUAAACUACUGAAAAGUGCUUGGAAAAUGUUGCCUCAUUUUUUUUUGAAUAUGAUCUAAGCAACAGUUUUUGCAGUGUAUGUUUUUAUGAAAGCCUAGAAUAAACAGUAUUUUUGUA
Molecule: long non-coding RNA, 1514 nt
Organism: Acanthochromis polyacanthus (spiny chromis)
Lineage: Eukaryota; Metazoa; Chordata; Actinopteri; Pomacentridae
Exons: 2
Source: RefSeq, a predicted model, not a curated record